AUUUAAGUAGUUUAAAAAAAAUAUUGAUUUGUGGUGUCAGAGAUGUAAAAUUUACCUUAAAUA
Molecule: transfer RNA, 63 nt
Filed under: Glaresis sp. GLA01
Lineage: Eukaryota; Metazoa; Arthropoda; Insecta; Coleoptera; Glaresidae
Description: tRNA-His
Source: RNAcentral